CUGUUCCUGCCACUCGCGUACUAAGAUGAGUCACAUUUUCAGGGAAAAGCUUUGCCAGACCAAAAUCGCCAAUUUUAGGUUGAAGGUUUUCAUCAAUAAGGACAUUACUGGCCUUAAUAUCUCGAUGAACAAUUGGUGGUGUUGCUUCCUCAUGAAGAAAUGCUAAACCAGAUGCUGUACCUAAACAUAUAGCAACUCUCUUGGGCCAAUCCAGGGCAACGCGUUUACCUUUAGAACCUGCAAUGACAAUUUACACAUUGGUGGUUAGCCAUGCACUUGGAUUUACAUUCCUUAAGAAAGUGAAAUACAACAACCCAAAAUCGCCAAUUUUAGGUUGAAGGUUUUCAUCAAUAAGGACAUUACUGGCCUUAAUAUCUCGAUGAACAAUUGGUGGUGUUGCUUCCUCAUGAAGAAAUGCUAAACCAGAUGCUGUACCUAAACAUAUAGCAACUCUCUUGGGCCA
RNAcentral lists this long non-coding RNA (463 nucleotides) under Nicotiana benthamiana. RNAcentral describes it as "long non-coding RNA (NBEN_LNC029049)". The record is from RNAcentral. Lineage: Eukaryota; Viridiplantae; Streptophyta; Magnoliopsida; Solanales; Solanaceae.